RNAcentral lists this ribosomal RNA (495 nucleotides) under uncultured bacterium. RNAcentral describes it as "partial 16S ribosomal RNA". It matches the Rfam family "Bacterial small subunit ribosomal RNA", at positions 28 to 507 of the family's 1533-position model. The record is from RNAcentral.
GAUGAACGCUGGCGGCGUGCCUAAUACAUGCAAGUAGAACGCUGAAGGAAGGAGCUUGCUCUUUCCGGAUGAGUUGCGAACGGGUGAGUAACGCGUAGGUAACCUGCCUGGUAGCGGGGGAUAACUAUUGGAAACGAUAGCUAAUACCGCAUAACAGUAGAUGUUGCAUGAUAUCUACUUAAGGUGCAAUUGCACCACUACCAGAUGGACCUGCGUUGUAUUAGCUAGUUGGUGAGGUAACGGCUCACCAAGGCGACGAUACAUAGCCGACCUGAGAGGGUGAUCGGCCACACUGGGACUGAGACACGGCCCAGACUCCUACGGGAGGCAGCAGUAGGGAAUCUUCGGCAAUGGACGGAAGUCUGACCGAGCAACGCCGCGUGAGUGAAGAAGGUUUUCGGAUCGUAAAGCUCUGUUGUAAGAGAAGAACGAGUGUGAGAGUGGAAAGUUCACACUGUGACGGUAUCUUACCAGAAAGGGACGGCUAACUACGUG